GAGCUUGCUCCGAUACCUUAGUGGCGAACGGGUGAGUAACGCGUGGGAAUCUACCUUACGAUGGGGAAUAACAGUUGGAAACGACUGCUAAUACCGCAUACGCCCUUAGGGGGAAAGGCUUCGGCCGUCGUUAGAGGAUCCCGCGUUCGAUUAGCUAGUUGGUAAGGUAAUGGCUUACCAAGGCUACGAUCGAUAGCUGGUCUGAGAGGAUGAUCAGCCACACUGGAACUGAGACACGGUCCAGACUCCUACGGGAGGCAGCAGUGGGGAAUAUUGGACAAUGGGGGAAACCCUGAUCCAGCGAUGCCGCGUGAGUGAAGAAGGCCCUAGGGUUGUAAAACUCUUUCACCCGUGAAGAUGAUGACUGUAGCGGGAGAAGAAGCUCCGGCUAACUCCGUGCCAGCAGCCGCGGUAAUACGGAGGGGGCUAGCGUUGCUCGGAAUUACUGGGCGUAAAGCGCGCGUAGGCGGCGAAUCCAGUCAGGCGUGAAAGCCCAGGGCUUAACCCUGGAACUGCGCUUGAUACUGAUUUGCUAGAAUUCGAGAGAGGGUAGUGGAAUUUCCAGUGUAGAGGUGAAAUUCGUAGAUAUUGGAAAGAACACCGGUGGCGAAGGCGGCUAUCUGGCUCGAUAUUGACGCUGAGGUGCGAAAGCGUGGGGAGCGAACGGGAUUAGAUACCCCGGUAGUCCACGCCGUAAACGAUGAGUGCUAGUUGUUGGGCAGCUUGCUGUUCAGUGACGUAGCUAACGCG
RNAcentral lists this ribosomal RNA (750 nucleotides) under alpha proteobacterium SCGC AAA158-C16. RNAcentral describes it as "bacterial SSU rRNA". It matches the Rfam family "Bacterial small subunit ribosomal RNA", at positions 76 to 859 of the family's 1533-position model. The record is from RNAcentral. Lineage: Bacteria; Pseudomonadati; Pseudomonadota; Alphaproteobacteria.